RNAcentral lists this ribosomal RNA (253 nucleotides) under uncultured Sphingomonadaceae bacterium. RNAcentral describes it as "partial 16S ribosomal RNA". It matches the Rfam family "Bacterial small subunit ribosomal RNA", at positions 524 to 776 of the family's 1533-position model. Lineage: Bacteria; Pseudomonadati; Pseudomonadota; Alphaproteobacteria; Sphingomonadales; Sphingomonadaceae. The record is from RNAcentral.
UACAGAGGGUGCGAGCGUUAAUCGGAUUUACUGGGCGUAAAGCGUACGUAGGCGGCUUUUUAAGUCAGAGGUGAAAGCCCGGGGCUCAACUCCGGAACUGCCUUUGAAACUGGAAAGCUUGAACAUGGGAGAGGUCAGUGGAAUUCCGAGUGUAGAGGUGAAAUUCGUAGAUAUUCGGAAGAACACCAGUGGCGAAGGCGACUGAUUGGACAAGCAUUGACGCUGAGGUGCGAAAGCGUGGGGAGCAAACAGG